UCCAGACUCCUACGGGAGGCAGCAGUGAGGAAUAUUGGUCAAUGGGCUUACGCCUGAACCAGCCAAGUCGCGUGAGGGAAGACUGCCCUAUGGGUUGUAAACCUCUUUUGUCAGGGAGCAAUUGGCGCUACGUGUAGCGUUAUCGAGAGUACCUGAAGAAAAAGCAUCGGCUAACUCCGUGCCAGCAGCCGCGGUAAUACGGAGGAUGCGAGCGUUAUCCGGAUUUAUUGGGUUUAAAGGGUGCGUAGGCCGGCUUUUAAGUCAGCUGUGAAAGUCCGCGGCUCAACCGUGGAAUUGCAGUUGAAACUGGAGGCCUUGAGUGCACACAGGGAUGCCGGAAUUCAUGGUGUAGCGGUGAAAUGCUUAGAUAUCACGCAGAACUCCGAUUGCGAAGGCAGCAUACCGGCGCCCGACUGACGCUGAGGCACGAAAGCGUGGGGAUCGAACAGGAUUAGAUACCCCUGUA
RNAcentral lists this ribosomal RNA (466 nucleotides) under uncultured bacterium. RNAcentral's name for it is "bacterial SSU rRNA". It matches the Rfam family "Bacterial small subunit ribosomal RNA", at positions 330 to 792 of the family's 1533-position model. The record is from RNAcentral.